AUAUGAUACCACAAACUUACAAAUCUGUAUAUAAGUGAUCAGUAGACAUUGAUUAUAGUUAGUGUUAAAUCUCAACAUUGUCUAUAAAUUUUAUGUUUCGUCGUUUCAUACCGUAAUAUAUCCGUUUGCUACAAGUCGAUAACAAACCAAGUAACACAAUUUGAUCAGGUAUAUUUAAUAUAUAUAAAAAAUAAUAUGUCGUACUAUACUAAUGUAUCUGCAGGCGAAAGCUCUUCAAAUGAUGAUAAUGAAAGUAGUAUGCUAUCAACACUAUCAUCUUCUUUAAAACCGGUAAAAAUGCAGAAAAAAAAAGAAAAAAUGAUACUGAACCAAAAGU
This is a long non-coding RNA of Aphis gossypii (cotton aphid), 337 nucleotides long. RefSeq lists it as uncharacterized. NCBI's taxonomy places the organism in Eukaryota, Metazoa, Arthropoda, Insecta, Hemiptera, Aphididae. The transcript has 3 exons. The record is from RefSeq and is a predicted model, not a curated record.